This 253-nucleotide ribosomal RNA is filed under the name uncultured bacterium. RNAcentral describes it as "partial 16S ribosomal RNA". It matches the Rfam family "Bacterial small subunit ribosomal RNA", at positions 524 to 776 of the family's 1533-position model. The record is from RNAcentral.
UACAGAGGUCUCAAGCGUUGUUCGGAUUCAUUGGGCGUAAAGGGUGCGUAGGUGGCAGGGUAAGUCGGAUGUGAAAUCCCGGGGCUCAACCUCGGAACUGCAUUCGAUACUGCGGUGCUUGAGGACUGGAGAGGAGACUGGAAUUCAUGGUGUAGCAGUGAAAUGCGUAGAGAUCAUGAGGAAGACCAGUGGCGAAGGCGGGUCUCUGGACAGUUCCUGACACUGAGACACGAAGGCCAGGGGAGCAAACGGG